CAGCGCCACGAGUGGCAAUCGCUUUUAUUGGGCCUAAAGCGUCCGUAGCCGGUUUGUUAAGUCUUUUGUGAAAUUGUUCAGCUUAACUGAACAACGUGCAGAGGAUACUGAUAAACUUGAGACCGGGAGGGGUUAGAGGUAUUCCUUGGGUAGCGGUAAAAUGCUAUAAUCCUUGGAGGACCACCUGUGGCGAAGGCGUCUAACCAGAACGGAUCUGACGGUGAGGGACGAAAGCUAGGGGAGCAAUCCGGAUUAGAUACCCGAGUAGUCC
This 271-nucleotide ribosomal RNA is filed under the name uncultured archaeon. RNAcentral's name for it is "partial 16S ribosomal RNA". It matches the Rfam family "Archaeal small subunit ribosomal RNA", at positions 477 to 747 of the family's 1478-position model. The record is from RNAcentral.